RNAcentral lists this long non-coding RNA (224 nucleotides) under Elaeis guineensis (African oil palm). RNAcentral's name for it is "long non-coding RNA (EGUI_LNC078155)". Lineage: Eukaryota; Viridiplantae; Streptophyta; Magnoliopsida; Arecales; Arecaceae. The record is from RNAcentral.
UUGCCGAACUGGAGAGAGAAGUACCACCAGUCCUUUGCCGAGGAGUAGCGCUUGAAGGUAUAAAAAUACCUAAACAAAGAAAGAGAUGGCUGAACUUCGACUAUGUGGCAAAGAGAGAGGAACCCUAACAAAAACCUAAAGGAAUUCGGCGCGACUGAAGCUAAAGAAAUGUCUAAAAAAUGAAAAAGAGCAACGAUGAAGGGCGGAAGCAGAAGUCGGAGCCC